This 460-nucleotide ribosomal RNA is filed under the name uncultured bacterium. RNAcentral's name for it is "partial 16S ribosomal RNA". It matches the Rfam family "Bacterial small subunit ribosomal RNA", at positions 338 to 795 of the family's 1533-position model. The record is from RNAcentral.
CCUACGGGAGGCAGCAGUGAGGAAUAUUGGUCAAUGGACGAGAGUCUGAACCAGCCAAGUAGCGUGAAGGAUGACUGCCCUAUGGGUUGUAAACUUCUUUUAUAUGGGAAUAAAAUGUUCCACGUGUGGGAUUUUGUAUGUACCAUAUGAAUAAGGAUCGGCUAACUCCGUGCCAGCAGCCGCGGUAAUACGGAGGAUCCGAGCGUUAUCCGGAUUUAUUGGGUUUAAUGGGAGCGUAGGUGGAUUGUUAAGUCAGUUGUGAAAGUUUGCGGCUCAACCGUAAAAGUGCAAUUGAAACUGGCAGUCUUGAGUACAGUAGAGGUGGGCGGAAUUCGUGGUGUAGCGGUGAAAUGCUUAGAUAUCACGAAGAACUCCGAUUGCGAAGGCAGUUCACUGGACUGCAACUGACACUGAGGCUCGAAAGUGUGGGUAUCAAACAGGAUUAGAUACCCUUGUAGUC